AGUUUGAUUCUGGCUCAGAGCGAACGCUGGCGGCAGGCCUAACACAUGCAAGUCGAACGGACCUUUCGGGGUUAGUGGCGGACGGGUGANNACACGUGGGAGCGUGCCUUUAGGUUCGGAAUAAGCUCGGGAAACUGGGUCUAAUACCGAAUGCGCCCUUCGGGGGAAAGAUUUAUCGCCUUUAGAGCGGCCCGCGUCUGAUUAGCUAGUUGGUGGUGUAAUGGACCCCCAAGGCGACGAUCAGUAGCUGGUCUGAGAGGAUGACCAGCCACAUUGGGACUGAGACACGGCCCAAACUCCUACGGGAGGCAGCAGUGGGGAAUCUUGCGCAAUGGGCGAAAGCCUGACGCAGCCAUGCCGCGUGUAUGAUGAAGGUCUUAGGAUUGUAAAAUACUUUCACCGGUGAAGAUAAUGACUGUAGCCGGAGAAGAAGCCCCGNCNNNCUUCGUGCCAGCAGCCGCGGUAAUACGAAGGGGGCUAGCGUUGCUCGGAAUUACUGGGCGUAAAGGGAGCGUAGNCNGACAUUUAAGUCAGGGGUGAAAUCCCAGAGCUCAACUCUGGAACUGCCUUUGAUACUGGGUGUCUUGAGUGUGAU
RNAcentral lists this ribosomal RNA (595 nucleotides) under uncultured Alphaproteobacteria bacterium. RNAcentral's name for it is "bacterial SSU rRNA". It matches the Rfam family "Bacterial small subunit ribosomal RNA", at positions 10 to 652 of the family's 1533-position model. The record is from RNAcentral. Lineage: Bacteria; Pseudomonadati; Pseudomonadota; Alphaproteobacteria.